Molecule: long non-coding RNA, 931 nt
Organism: Lycium barbarum (goji berry)
Lineage: Eukaryota; Viridiplantae; Streptophyta; Magnoliopsida; Solanales; Solanaceae
Exons: 5
Source: RefSeq, a predicted model, not a curated record
AGUUCUCAUCUUCCUACCAGCCCUUUUGUUUUCCAUCUUCUCAUUUUCCAUGAAUAAACCCAAUUGUUUUAUCUGCAGUCUAAUCCUUGGUUGUUCUUGUUUUUGUCCUGCAACCAGUUGGCCCUUUUCUCUGGUUGCUUCUCCAUUUUGCUUCACAAGUUCUUCUUUUUCUGGUGCCCUGGGAAAAUUCUUACAAUCCCAACUUUGAAGCUCUAACUCAAUUAGGAACACCUACAAUUACAACAAAAAAUAUAGGUAAGGUGGAAGCGUCCUACAGCCUCACGGUAGACAUCUACUUUAUGUUGGGACAGAUAGAGCAUGUGUUUUAUCUUCGUAUUCACAUCCCAGAAUUAAGUUGCCAAACUGAGGUGGCAUAGUUGACUGAAGGACGUGAGAAAUGUCUCAUAGGAAGUUCUAGCCUCCAAGACAGGGGUCUUUGGGCUUUCUGCCCAGAAAGAGAGUUGCUUGACACAAGGGAAAGGUGAAGGCACCCUCUACUAAGAACUGGUGCAAGUCCAAGAAGUAGGUCUUUACGAAGUACUCCAAGAAAUAUGAGACUGAUGAAGGUAAAAAAGAUAUCCAGGCACAGUGGGAGAAGCUGAAGAAAUAUGCUUAUGUCACCCGUGUGUUACCUUACACUCAGGCAUCGAGAACGUGAACAAGUCAGCAAGAUAUCACCUACAGGACAUUUAGGUUGGACCCGUGCUGAAUAUUUUGGUUGAAGGAUAGCGUUGAGUAUUACUGGUCUAUGCCAAAGUGCAGAGAAAAUCUAAUAGCACAUUCUAUGAUAUGUGGUUCAUAUAUGACUAUAUAAUGUUAGAUUCAUGGGUGGUCUCAUGCACUUACUGUAACAAAACAAUUACCCAAUUAUGCACAUUUUGUACAUAGACUAUUGGUUAUUAGUAUCUAUUUAAACUUCAGUACGACUUCG